Molecule: ribosomal RNA, 790 nt
Filed under: uncultured bacterium
Lineage: Bacteria
Description: bacterial SSU rRNA
Rfam family: Bacterial small subunit ribosomal RNA
Source: RNAcentral
UUGAGCGGAGAUAUAUGGAGCUUGCUUUAUAUAACUUAGCAGCGAACGGGUGAGUAACACGUAGAUAAUCUAUCCUAUACUGGGGGAUAGCCCGAUGAAAGUUGGAUUAAUACCGCAUAUAGCUAUAUAGUUGCAUGAUUAUGUAGUGAAAGAUUUAUUGGUAUAGGAGGAGUCUGCGGCACAUUAGCUAGUAGGUGAGGUAAAGGCUUACCUAGGCGACGAUGUGUAGCCGGUCUGAGAGGAUGAACGGCCACAAUGGAACUGAGACACGGUCCAUACUCCUACGGGAGGCAGCAGUGGGGAAUAUUGCACAAUGGGGGAAACCCUGAUGCAGCAACGCCGCGUGAGUGAAGAAGGUUUUCGGAUUGUAAAGCUCUGUUAGCAGGGAAGAGGAAGGACGGUACCUGCAGAGGAAGCCACGGCUAACUACGUGCCAGCAGCCGCGGUAAUACGUAGGUGGCAAGCGUUGUUCGGAAUAACUGGGCGUAAAGGAUGCGUAGGCGGUUAAACAAGUUAUAUGUUAAAUAUAUAGGCAUAACCUGUAGAAAGCAUAUAAAACUGUUUAACUAGAGUGCAGGAGAGGUAAGUGGAAUUCCUAGUGUAGCGGUGAAAUGCGUAGAGAUUAGGAAGAACACCAGUGGCGAAGGCGACUUACUGGACUGUAACUGACGCUGAGGCAUGAGAGCAUGGGGAGCAAACAGGAUUAGAUACCCUGGUAGUCCAUGCUGUAAACGAUGGGUACUAGGUGUGGGUUGUGAAUAACAAUUCGUGCCGUCGCAAACGCAAUAAG